RNAcentral lists this long non-coding RNA (473 nucleotides) under Carica papaya (papaya). RNAcentral's name for it is "long non-coding RNA (CPAP_LNC016650)". Lineage: Eukaryota; Viridiplantae; Streptophyta; Magnoliopsida; Brassicales; Caricaceae. The record is from RNAcentral.
CCCCUUCCCUUUUAUUUCCCUAGCACCACGGUAUGUUAUUUAUCUUUUAACCCUAUUAUUCUCCAUAUUUCCCUUAUUUCCACCCCUUUGUAGGUCCUUAAUCACAUCAACUACUUAUUGAUAUAUGUGUAUUCAAUCUCAUCGUGUUCCCUUAUGAGGUCUACUAGUUGAUUUUCACCGAUCUGUAUAACACAAGUUAGAUCUAUCUGUAAAUCCCUAAGCUUAACUCAAAUUGGAACUAAUACCUGCUAUACAUGAAUUAAUUACUAUCAACAUGGUCAUUACCGCAAGACUUCUUUUCUCCCUUACCUGAUUGAUGAUCCCUAUUCUCAUCCACCAUUUACCUUAGACUUCGCUACUAAGUUACUGCACAGGAAUAUUCUUCACCAUCACAUCGAAAUCAUACUAAAUGCACAUACAUAACUCGCUAGAAAUCUAUAUCCACGAUAUAGGAAAUUUAUAAUAAUCAUUUC